AGGGCAAGCACAUCUCAAAGGAACAUGGAUAUCCAAACCUGCAUAUAAAUUAUACAUAUCAUAAGGGUUUUGCUCCCUCAAUGCCUGGCAGGUGGUGAGACCCUGGUAGGUAUCAUUGGCCAAUGUAAAAUAGUUCUCAUUCUCAUCUUUGAGCCGGUAAGUGGCAUUGUGCUAGUAAUAAAGGCCUUUGUAACAAGAGCAAUUGACAGGGACUACCACUUGCUUCUGGGCAGGAAUUUUGGCCACAUCAGAAGAG
RNAcentral lists this unclassified non-coding RNA (256 nucleotides) under Hevea brasiliensis (rubber tree). The record is from RNAcentral. Lineage: Eukaryota; Viridiplantae; Streptophyta; Magnoliopsida; Malpighiales; Euphorbiaceae.